Molecule: long non-coding RNA, 4295 nt
Filed under: Brassica napus (rape)
Lineage: Eukaryota; Viridiplantae; Streptophyta; Magnoliopsida; Brassicales; Brassicaceae
Description: long non-coding RNA (BNAP_LNC009730)
Source: RNAcentral
UCGGUUAGGAUCUGGUAUCCAAUUUUAUUCUCAAUUAUUUGUUCUCUUUUAGCAUCCCAUUAUUCAACUCUACUAUAUACUAGAGUCUUUGUCCGCGCUACGCGCGGAAAAUGGGCUAUUUCAAUUUUGUGUUCAUUUGAAAUUUUUUCUUAUUAUUAGUAAUUUUUAUAUUAAGAAAUAUGGGCUAUUUUAAUUUUGUGUUUGAUUUGAAAUAUUUUAUUAUUAUUAAUAAUUUAUAUUAAAUAUUUGUAAAAUGAGAGCAAUUUAACUCUGAAGAUUAUUAUGUUUAAAUUAUAUUGUAAAAUGAUUAAUAAUCAUAUUUUGUUUAAAUUAUAAUAAUGAUUUUGUUUAAAUUAUACUCUGUUCUUGCUGAAGUUAAAUUUUUUUGUGCUCAUAUGUAUAUCAUUUUUAAAUAAAUAGGUUGGGUAUUAUGAAAUGCGGUCCUAUAGCUUUUUAUAUUGCUAUAUUAAGUCACAAAGUUUAUAUCAUUUACUAUAUAUCAUUGAAUAUUAUAAUGUAGUUUUUUCUUGUUCUAGGCUGUUAAGUUUCAUAAACGCAUUUCUAUAGAUGUAGCACAUUGGAUAAUGAAACAUUUGCUGGUUGAUUGGUUGCAAAACUGAUUGAUUUGGAAUGUUUAGUUGCAAAACUUGUAGAUUUUUAGGAAAUAUACUUUUAAAUUAUAAUUUGUAUUGUAAGUAGAACAUGAGUGCGUAUGUAUUAAGGAUUAUUAGAACUUGUUAGAUUCCUUGACUGCGAAGUAGAACUUGAUUAUUAUUAUUUGAUUUACCAUCUUGCCCGUUUUAUGUAAUAUUAUAGGCUUUAGCCACAAGCUUUACUCAAUGCAAAGGAAAUACAUGAAAUUAUUGUCACUACUUUAUAUUGCUUUUCACAUAAAACGGGCCAUUCUCUAAUUAUAAAAAAAUAAAAUAUUUGAUUUACUGUAUAGUUAUUGGUUGUUAUUUUUUGAGAUUAGACAUUUAUCUCAAUCAUAUUAUAUUAUUCGAUAUAUAAUAUAUAUUGAAUAGAACAUACAAUGCGGUCUUAGAUAUAAUAUUAGUAAAGCCCAUAAAAAAUGUAUCAAGUGAUAAUAAAAUAUAAAGAUAUUUUAUUUUUGAAUAUAGAUCAAAUAAUUUAAUAACAGGUUCUACUUAUAUAAAUUAUGUAAAUAUGUAAAUCACUAAUUUAUAAUUUUGAUGAGACCAUAUAUUUGGUUAAAAUUUUCUAAAAAUAUUAUCUUAUUAUUUAUCAAUUCGUGAUAAAUUUAGCCGGCCUAAUUUGGGACCGGUGAGUUUUAUUAAUUUAUUGAGUAUUACAUAAAAGAGUAUUAAUUGAUGGAGUUUGUUCUGUUCUGACUGUCAAAAUGUUAGCACUUGUUCUGAUCUUAAGUAGAUGUUGACCAAUUCUAAUCAUAAACUCUGAAUUAUAUGAGUAGUAGUAUGGAAUAAUGCCAAGUAAAUUCUUUAAAGAGAUGAGGAUAACCAAAUUGUUUAAAGAGAUGAGUGUAUCCAACUAACGAAAAAUGUAUUCAAAGAAACAUAAAGACCGACCAAAAAACGGAAAGUAUGAAGAUAGAAAUAGAAAAACGCAAAGUCGUUACGUAAACAUCAAACCGAACUCAUACUGCAGCAAAAAACAGUCACUGCGUAUGAAGAUAGCUGAAGCUGCAUUAGCCACUCUUGGAACGCUUGGCUUCGUCUGAUUCAAUACCCUCAGACGCUUUUCUAACCCGACCACCAGCGGCAUCCACUAACCCACUGGAGGAACCGGAUACUUCACUUCCAGUCUUCAAGAAACCAUCGGACGUAGCUGGAAUAGCGUCUUCGACCAAUGGUUCUAUAGGAUGUGGAGCUUCUGGUGGAAGUAUCUUGGUGACGGUUAUGGUCCGUGUCUUCCCUUUCAAGUUAUGAUCGGAGACUUUCACUAUGAACCUGUGUGUCUGCCCGAUUGUAUCAAGCAAAUCUUGCGGUACCGGCACGCAAUGGUCAGCUUCCACGCUCUCAUUAGACUAACAUUCAAGAAAAAUUUAUGUGAGUUCAAAUAUUAUGGGGCUAUAUAUACACAGAUUCUUAAUUACCUCAAAGUAUCUGGCAACUAAUUCUGAAGCAUGCUUUCCAGUCAACUCUUUGCCAGCAUCACCAAGAAUGACAAAAACUGCUUGCUCACUCUUAUCAUAAACAGAUAUCCUGGUUAGGUAUCUGCAAUGAGAGAAGAUAAUUUAUUAGUGCAGGCAAAAAGUAGAUGAAACUGUGUAGACAUCACUUACUGAGCAACGCCCGUGACUUCACUCUUCAUACACUUCUUAUUGUUACAAAUCAGGGAGGUAGGCCCUUUGAACGCCUUGCUGUUACACCCAUCGCAUGAAAUAUAAUACCAAGCCGAACCCUGGAUAACAUCAUCUAUAGUUGCUGUGCAUUCAAACCAAGCAACCUACCAUAGUGGAAAUUAGAAAAAACUAUAUCAAUACAGAAGCAUACGACAACUAAUUUGGAAACAGAACAAAUCUUGUACCUUAGCAGUUGGCAGCUUUAUGUAGGAGAAGAGUUCCUCAAGAGUAGCUGUCUCAGGCUUAGUGACAACCUCUGCAUUAAUCUUGUUAGCAAUUUCCGAGUUGGAUCCCAACCUGAGAAAAAUGGAAGCGCGAAAAGUAUGGCAAGGUCAAAUCGCAUGAAAUGGCAAACAGAGGUCGCUUGUAAAAUAUAAAUACAAAAAAUGCUCACCACCCGAGGUAAUCCCUGCUAGGCUGAACAUCAGUAUCCAUAAACACUCGAGAUGAUGCCAUCGAAGUCAGAGCAAGGGUUCCUGAUCAGACCACAUGAUUUGAUUAUUACCAACCAAAUACUUAACGAUGCCACAAAAGCAUUAAAACAGAAUUUCGUACUAUAGAUCUGGCUCACUUAACAAUAAAAAUGUCCAAAUACAUUUCAGUUCGAAUCACCACACCUAAGCUAUACAUUACUAAGUAAAUGUUACCUCCAAGAUGCUUAGGGUUGACUGUGGUGACCAAAAUAACGCUUGGAGUGCUUCCAUAAGAUUUGAAUUUCUCACAGAAGUCCGAUGCCGCUUUGUCCCAUAGAUAGAGCUUCAUUACUGGCCCGCUGCAUAACAUUAAAACCAUGUGUCAACCAUAACUCACACAGAAUCUAACUCUAUUUGGACAGACUUACUCGUGUGUCUGAACAUGAACACAAAGAUGCCGCUUCUCUGCUAUGCCGGCUUCGUCGAGAACAAUAUGAUCAGUGAUAGUCUGCCCAUUCACCAGCUUCAUGUGGCCAACAUAGUCUAGGAUAAAAUAUUUCAUAGUAGUAUAUUCAGUAGAUGUAAAUAUAUAAAACCUAAAGAUUUAAGUAUAAACACUUGAGUAGUUAAACAGAGAUUACCAUAAAGAUCAAUUUUGUGGUCACAAUUAGCCUGGAACUCCUCGUAGUUAUGAAACCUGAACCUAUCCUCAGGGAUUGAAACCGGGGGGUUAUCAACAACGGAUAGCUCAGAAUUCCAAGCGAAGGUGACGGUUGCGUUAUGAUCAGAAACACGAUACUGAGUUUUGUUCCCCUAUAUCUACAAACUCUAUUCAACGCUACUAUUAUUCCACAACCUUUCUUCUUUACUACGAUUAAUAUCUAGGAUUAAUCAGUUUCCUGUUAAUUAAAGGUGUAUGAAGAAGUUUCAACUUGGUAUAAUAUAUUUUCACACAAGAUAUAUACCAAUCUUCAUUUAGAAUCCUAAAUCAUUAUAUAUUUGAAUCCAUAAACUUUAGCACAGAUAAAGGUUGAGAGGAUAGAUUCAUAUUUAAGUAAUCUUUAAAUGUGUGGCAAAGGGGAAAACAAAUUCUUAGUUCAUUAUUUAAUUCCCACAUGGUAAUAGUGAAAAAAAUACAUUUUGGAUUUCUUAUUCAUGAAGAUAGCCCACUAAAAUGAAAUCACAUAUAUAAAUAUCGAUCUUUUAUAGUCCCAAGAAAAAUAUUUCAAAACCCUCCAUGAAUAAAUAUAUAUAUAUAGAGUAUCGAGCAGCGCAUAAGCGUAGUGUGCUGUAGCAGAGUGUGUUAUGAAGAAAAAGAUUAUGCUUAGGUAAAGGAUGAACAAGCCAAUGAUGAUACGAACUAAACGGGUGUGCUCCAGUACUAGUUGGGACAUCUAGUUAACCAAGCCAUGAAUCAGAUAUUUCACAGGCACGUCAUUCAAACUCGACCAUGCAGCCGUGUGCUCUUUUGUAUUUACUAUUGGUGAUGUGGGGAUAGCCGCUUGGAUUUACCACAAUAACGUCUCUGUGAAGUUGUACUUGUUUGAAUAAGCUUCAAC